Molecule: ribosomal RNA, 263 nt
Filed under: uncultured bacterium
Lineage: Bacteria
Description: partial small subunit ribosomal RNA
Rfam family: Bacterial small subunit ribosomal RNA
Source: RNAcentral
AGAAUCAACGCUGGCGGCGUGCCUAACACAUGCAAGUCGAACGAGAAAGUCCGCAAGGAUGAGUAAAGUGGCGACCGGGUGAGUAACACGUAGCUAACCUACCCUCGAGUGGGGGAUAACCUGGGGAAACCUGGGCUAAUACCGCAUAAGAUCCCGACGGCGUAAGUCGGUGGGAGCAAAGGCCCGCAAGGGUCGCUGGAGGAGGGGGCUGCGGCCGAUUAGCUAGUUGGUGAGGUAACGGCUCACCAAGGCGAUGAUCGGUA